GGUGAAUGCUGGCGGCGUGGAUAAGUCAUGCAAGUCGAACGCCCCGCAAGGGGAGCGGCAGACGGGUGAGUAACGCGUGGGAAUCUACCCAACUCUACGGAAUAACUCAGGGAAACUUGUGCUAAUACCGUAUACGCCCUUCGGGGGAAAGGUUUAUCGGAGGUGGAUGAGCCCGCGUUGGAUUAGCUAGUUGGUGGGGUAAAGGCCUACCAAGGCGACGAUCCAUAGCUGGUCUGAGAGGAUGAUCAGCCACACUGGGACUGAGACACGGCCCAGACUCCUACGGGAGGCAGCAGUGGGGAAUAUUGGACAAUGGGCGAAAGCCUGAUCCAGCCAUGCCGCGUGAGUGAUGAAGGCCCUAGGGUUGUAAAGCUCUUUCACCGGUGAAGAUAAUGACGGUAACCGGAGAAGAAGCCCCGGCUAACUUCGUGCCAGCCGCCGCAGUAA
Molecule: ribosomal RNA, 447 nt
Filed under: uncultured bacterium
Lineage: Bacteria
Description: partial 16S ribosomal RNA
Rfam family: Bacterial small subunit ribosomal RNA
Source: RNAcentral